AACCCGUUAUUUAUAAAAUUUCAAAAAAAAAAAAAAAACCCAAAAAACCCAGUUACACAAAUCUGCAAAUAGAUCACUAGGUCCUUGAAAGAGCCUGUGCAAGAGAGGCCUGGAGUUUUCUUCGUUAGCCUCCCAGUAAAUCUGCAUCCGUUCAGCAUUCUGAGCCCCAGAGUUUUCCUCUUCAAGGUGGGAAGAGUGAGGCCCACUGUAUAGACGCACCAUGAAGAUCAAAUGAGCUGUAUUUGAAAACCCGUUGACCACGAGACUGUGAAAGAGCGGCUCUGUGUUGAAGAAGGAAGGAGUGGAGGAGUGUUAGCCAGCCGUCUGCUUCACGUCCAGUGGCCCGCUUGGAAUUCCGUGUCCCCUAGACUGCUGAGCAGUCCGAGGGGAGCCCCCGCGCCGUCUGAAAAGGGGGGUGAAGAGCCGGAAAUGGAAACCCAGCUCACAUGCGUGGCGUUUUUUGAGCAGGCAAAAUGGUCAUUUUUCUUCACCCAAGUCUGGCUGCUCGGGACCCUCCGUGUGAUCCAAGGGCACUGGGCCCGACUGGCACGUUACGGACAGAUGGGCUUCUUAAGCAGCACGCGGCUGGAGUGAUUUUCUCGGCUGGCUCAGAGCCUCUGUCACACAAGGGCUGUUCUGCCGAGAGCGUGGGGGCCUGAUGCCUUUGGAAUUCAAUAGCCGGGACCAGGACGCCCCUCAGCAAGGCUCCACGGCCAGACUUAGACAACCCUGGGUCUGAAAAUCGGCUCUUGGGUCAAGAGCUGUGGUGAUGAUGUUGAGAGAUCCUUGAACGCCGCAAGUCCUCCUAGACCCCGACCUCACCGUGCCUGCCCUGUGUGGCUGCUGCCCGCUGUCACUAUGGUGGCCCUGGGGGAGGGAGGCUGGGGAACAGAGUCCAGGCACAGGCGGCAGACGCCGGGGACGCCGGGUGUGGUGAGGAGACGCCGCGGGGCUCCAGCAGAGCUAGAUCUCUCUCGACUCUGAUUUCCGCAUUUACAGGUGAGGAGAUGGGCCCAGAUAGGCCCUAAAAUUUCUGCCACUGCUAACCUUUUAGAAUUAAAAAAAUUCGAGUAUGUUGGCAUUGACCCACCUCCAGGUGGUAACCCUCUGAGGUUGGAGAGAUGGGUGGUGUCCGCAGAAACAUUUUUCUUCUUUUUUAUGACUGCACCUGCAGCAUGUGGAAGUUCCUGGGCUAGGGGUCAAAUUGGAGCCACGGCUGCCGGCCUAUGCCACAGCCACAGCAACACCGGAUCUGAGCUGCAUCCGUGCCGCAGUAUGUGGUGCUGGAUCCUUAACCCACUGAUCGAGGCCAGGGAUGGAACCUGCAUCCUCACAGAUACCAUGUCGGGUUCUUAACCUGCUGAGCCACAACGGGAACGCCAGAAACAGGAAUUUUUAAACCCUUGGUGUCCUGAUUCCAAUUCCCCAUCUUCCUUCUGCAUCUGCACCACUUACCUGUCACCCUGUGGUGCUCAGUAGCAGCCACGGAGAACCAUGCAUCGAGGGCUCUGCAGAGACACCCAUGCAUCCUUCCAGGUGGCAGUCGUAUGUGCUCGUGCUCGGUUGAGUGAGAGAAGCAGACCUCUAAACAGUCGGGUGUGAUGCAAUUUCUUAAAACAGGAAAACGGUAUCUGUAUCUAUAUGCAGAGAAAAAUACUGGAAGGAAUUAAUCUACCGUGUUGCCAGUGCUUCUGUCUACAUGGUAAAAUAAUAGAUCAGGAGUUCCCGAUGUGGCUUAGUGGUUAAUGAACCCGACUAUAUCCCUGAAGACGUGGGUUCAAUCCUUGGCCUUGCUCAGUGGGUUAAGGAUCCGGCAUUGCCAUGAGCUGGGGUGUAGGUCGCAGACAUGGCUUGCAUCCUGAGUUGCUGUGGCUGUGGUGUAGGCCGGCAGCUACAGCUCUGGUUCAACCCCUAGCCCAGAAAGCUCCAUAUGCUGUGAGUGUGUCCCCAAAAGAUAAAAAUAAAUAAAUAAACAAAUAAAUAAAUUAGGUUAAAUAUUUUUUAUUUUGAAAUUAAAGUAAAUUUCCCCGAAUUUUUAAUCUUCGGUAUGUACUAUGACAAUUUGGGAGCUGGAGGAUGCAUAGGAGGUAUUUGUAGGGAGAGGUCUGGGAGCCGCUGCUACCCUGACACCCAGGACAGAGGCUCUCCCACCUUAACUAACAGAAGUAUCAUGCAGGGAACUUGUUAAAACUGCUAGUUCCUAGGAGUUCCCAUUGUGGCACUGUGGUUAACGAAUCCGACUAGGAACCAUGAGGUUUCUGGUUCGGUCCCUGGCCUUGCUCAGUGGGUUAGGACCCGGCAUUGCCAUGAGCUGUGGUGUAGGUCACAGACAUGGCUCGGAUCCUGCGUUGCUGUGGCUCCGGCGUAGGCCAGUGGCUACAGCUCCAAUUGGACCCCUAGCCU
RNAcentral lists this long non-coding RNA (2403 nucleotides) under Sus scrofa (pig). RNAcentral's name for it is "lncRNA (ENSSSCG00045006788.1)". Lineage: Eukaryota; Metazoa; Chordata; Mammalia; Artiodactyla; Suidae. The record is from RNAcentral.